RNAcentral lists this transfer RNA (77 nucleotides) under Bradypus variegatus (Brown-throated sloth). RNAcentral's name for it is "tRNA-Leu". It matches the Rfam family "tRNA". Rfam says of the family: Transfer RNA (tRNA) molecules are approximately 80 nucleotides in length. Lineage: Eukaryota; Metazoa; Chordata; Mammalia; Pilosa; Bradypodidae. The record is from RNAcentral.
GUUAAGAUGGCAGAGCCCGGCAAGUGCAUUAUUCUUAAACCUUUACAAUCAGAGGUUCAACUCCUCUUCUAAACACA